RNAcentral lists this ribosomal RNA (230 nucleotides) under uncultured microorganism. RNAcentral describes it as "partial 16S ribosomal RNA". It matches the Rfam family "Bacterial small subunit ribosomal RNA", at positions 524 to 753 of the family's 1533-position model. The record is from RNAcentral.
UACGGAGGGUGCGAGCGUUGUUCGGAAUUACUGGGCGUAAAGGGCGUGUAGGCGGCUAGAUAAGUCAGGUGUGAAAUCCCACGGCUUAACCGUGGAAGUGCAUUUGAAACUGUCUAGCUUGAGUAUGGGAGAGGAAAGUGGAAUUCCCGGUGUAGAGGUGAAAUUCGUAGAUAUCGGGAGGAACACCGGCGGCGAAGGCGACUUUCUGGACCAAUACUGACGCUAAGGCG